RNAcentral lists this long non-coding RNA (321 nucleotides) under Capsicum annuum. Its description in RNAcentral is "long non-coding RNA (CANN_LNC009270)". The record is from RNAcentral. Lineage: Eukaryota; Viridiplantae; Streptophyta; Magnoliopsida; Solanales; Solanaceae.
GAUAACUCCGUUCUCAUUUGUUGUCAGUGUGAUCAUAAGUUUGAGCUGUUUGGUCUUUCACAUAUGUUCUAACAAUAUUUUGUAACUUCUCCAGUAUAAUCCCGUGACAAUUUUGUGCUCAGGUAUAUAGAAUUGUGUUAUGUGUAUGUACUUCUUAACUGAUUAAGAUUUCCUUUUGUAUUAUCUCUCACUUUUUUUAUUUAACAUUUCAGUGACAAUUCCUUGAAAUUGGCUGCUGAAGGGACAGAAACAGGAAGAUCUAUUCCAUAUCCUUCAUCUACGAGCCAAAUAGUUUUCAUUCAAGAUUAAAGAUAAACAGGG